Molecule: ribosomal RNA, 484 nt
Filed under: uncultured bacterium
Lineage: Bacteria
Description: partial 16S ribosomal RNA
Rfam family: Bacterial small subunit ribosomal RNA
Source: RNAcentral
AUUGAACGCUGGCGGCAGGCCUAACACAUGCAAGUCGAGCGGAUGAAGGGAGCUUGCUCCUGGAUUCAGCGGCGGACGGGUGAGUAAUGCCUAGGAAUCUGCCUGGUAGUGGGGGAUAACGUCCGGAAACGGGCGCUAAUACCGCAUACGUCCUGAGGGAGAAAGGGGGGGAUCUUCGGACCUCACGCUAUCAGAUGAGCCUAGGUCGGAUUAGCUAGUUGGUGGGGUAAAGGCCUACCAAGGCGACGAUCCGUAACUGGUCUGAGAGGAUGAUCAGUCACACUGGAACUGAGACACGGUCCAGACUCCUACGGGAGGCAGCAGUGGGGAAUAUUGGACAAUGGGCGCAAGCCUGAUCCAGCCAUGCCGCGUGUGUGAAGAAGGUCUUCGGAUUGUAAAGCACUUUAAGUUGGGAGGAAGGGCAGUAAGUUAAUACCUUGCUGUUUUGACGUUACCAACAGAAUAAGCACCGGCUAACUUCGUG